ACCCAAUGGCUGACUAUCCGGUUCACAUUUUGACCACUCUUCGACAACUUUCGACAAGCAUUUCAGCUCUUCAGAAUAAUACUUCUUGCCGUCCAAAACCUCUGAUAAAACGUCUGGAAGUUCACAAACCUCACAGAAAUCCGUCUGCCAGACUUCGUCCACCCAAGCCUUGGGAAUUUCUGAUAAACUAAGCUGGGAAAGGCUCUCAACUGUCGAUUCUGCGAGACCGGCCAUUUUGGAAAAUAUUGUUGCAAAUCAA
Non-coding RNA from Paramuricea clavata, 259 nucleotides. The record is from the annotation of a GenBank genome assembly. NCBI's taxonomy places the organism in Eukaryota, Metazoa, Cnidaria, Anthozoa, Malacalcyonacea, Plexauridae.